RNAcentral lists this transfer RNA (61 nucleotides) under Phacomorphus fratyi. RNAcentral describes it as "tRNA-Cys". The record is from RNAcentral. Lineage: Eukaryota; Metazoa; Arthropoda; Insecta; Coleoptera; Leiodidae.
AGUUUAAUAGUCAAAAAUGAUUUUGAAUUGCAAAUUCAAAGGUGAAUAAUUUCUUAAGCUU